CGGGGGAGGCCGGGUCCUGGGCUGUGUCCCGGCGCCCUGUGCUCCGGGGCCUGCGCUGGUGGAUUCGCGCUCCCGCCCCGCAGCCCCCU
RNAcentral lists this microRNA precursor (89 nucleotides) under Nyctereutes procyonoides (raccoon dog). RNAcentral's name for it is "mir-8799 microRNA precursor family". It matches the Rfam family "mir-8799 microRNA precursor family". The record is from Rfam by way of RNAcentral. Lineage: Eukaryota; Metazoa; Chordata; Mammalia; Carnivora; Canidae.